GGUGCGUAACGCGUAUAGAACUUACCUUUUACAGGGGGAUAGCCUUUAGAAAUGAAGAUUAAUAUCCCAUAGUAUUGAGACUUGGCAUCAAGACUUAAUUAAAGAUUUAUCGGUAAAAGAUGGCUAUGCGUCCUAUUAGCUAGAUGGUAAGGUAACGGCUUACCAUGGCAACGAUAGGUAGGGGCCCUGAGAGGGGGAUCCCCCACACUGGUACUGAGACACGGACCAGACUCCUACGGGAGGCAGCAGUGAGGAAUAUUGGGCAAUGGAGGCAACUCUGACCCAGCCAUGCCGCGUGCAGGAAGACUGCCCUAUGGGUUGUAAACUGCUUUUAUACAGGAAGAAACACUCGUACGUGUACGAGCUUGACGGUACUGUAAGAAUAAGGACCGGCUAACUCCGUGCCAGCAGCCGCGGUAAUACGGAGGGUCCGAGCGUUAUCCGGAAUCAUUGGGUUUAAAGGGUCCGCAGGCNGGUCAAUUAAGUCAGAGGUGAAAUCCCAUAGCUUAACUAUGGAACUGCCUUUUGAUACUGGUUGACUUGAGUCAUAUGGAAGUAGA
This 560-nucleotide ribosomal RNA is filed under the name bacterium w1cb40. RNAcentral's name for it is "bacterial SSU rRNA". It matches the Rfam family "Bacterial small subunit ribosomal RNA", at positions 105 to 661 of the family's 1533-position model. The record is from RNAcentral.